UUGAAGAAACGAAAGCAUUCCAAAUUAGUUAAAUUUGUUUCAACGACUUGGCAUAAAAUAUUGAAAUUCUUCGUCUUUGAAGAAAACAAGUAUGUCAAAUGUGUGGAUCGAUAUAGUGAAUUCUAUGAUUAAUUCACGGUCUAUUUCCUGGGCUUCGUGAUGUCAUUCUCAUCCACUGAUUGUUCUCAAACCUCCAUUCCAAGCGAGGAAUUUUCUGUCUCCUUCAAGCUGUUAUGGCUCCAGUUGCAACAGUAUGUUUGUCAAUAUGGAUUUCUUUAUGUCUUGAUGAUAAAUGUGAUUCGACGGGAAAAAAAAAAGUGUAGGAACAAUGUCUGAUGUCAGUGAAAUGUACGAGGGUCACUCCAAAAGUAAUGCACCAUAUUUUUUUUAACAAAAUCACUUGUGAAUGUUUCCGUCUCAUUCUCACACAUCAGGAACUCGGUAACAGCUCGUUUUUUCUGACGAACGUCAAGGACAGCAGCCAUGUUUAACGAAUGAUACACAUGUGCCACUUGCGGGAGAAGGAUGAGUUAAGUUUUAAUAGAACCGGGACGAAUGCAUCUCUGUCCUGAGUGAAUAUCAACACGGUAGAAUAAAAGGGGACUUUUGGAGUAACCCUCGUAUUAGACACUGGAGACACCAGAAGCCUCUCUCUUGAAAACAGAUAUCUGGAUGGUCAACUAACUACCCUGAGGCUCAAAAGUGGAAAAGUUCUGUCAAGUGAAAGAUUAAGUUAUUAUAUACCAAGAAAUAUAUAUAAAAAACAGAGUGUUUCACAUGAAAAAUCCCAGUUCAAAGCUCUGAAAUCAUCCACAGUGCUGAAACUUAGAGCAAGUUGGGAAGACAAAUGAGGUCUGUGCCCACAACAACAGCAGAUAUUUUUGCCUGUUAUGUUUUUAUAUAACAUCUCAGAAAGUUAAUAUAAUGUCCUAUACAUUUUUAUACUAAAAUUACAUGUUUAGGAAGAAUAAUAUUGUUUCCAUAUAUGUUGAUAAUGUUUAUCCCAGUGUGGCACUAGAAGAUGCAAAUCAGGCCUAAGUUUCUGGCAGAACAAACUGGUCCUGUAUUUCUACAUAUAUGGCUUUUGUUUAUAAUUCUUCUGUUAUAAAUUCAGAUCAUCUACUUUGUAACCAUACAUCUCACAAUUUAUUGUGUAGUCAUAAAAUAUUCUGAAAAUACAUUUCAUAUUCUUAGAAAGAGA
Non-coding RNA from Zootermopsis nevadensis, 1201 nucleotides. The record is from RefSeq and is a predicted model, not a curated record. NCBI's taxonomy places the organism in Eukaryota, Metazoa, Arthropoda, Insecta, Blattodea, Termopsidae.